CCUACGGGACGCAGCAGUGGGGAAUUUUGGACAAUGGGCGCAAGCCUGAUCCAGCUAUUCCGCGUGUGGGAUGAAGGCCCUCGGGUUGUAAACCACUUUUGUAGAGAACGAAAAGACACCUUCGAAUAAAGGGUGUUGCUGACGGUACUCUAAGAAUAAGCACCGGCUAACUCCGUGCCAGCAGCCGCGGUAAUACGGAGGAUGCGAGCGUUAUCCGGAUUUAUUGGGUUUAAAGGGUGCGUAGGCGGGACGGUAAGUCAGCGGUAAAAAUGCGGAGCUCAACUCCGUCGAGCCGUUGAAACUGU
This 305-nucleotide ribosomal RNA is filed under the name uncultured bacterium. RNAcentral's name for it is "bacterial SSU rRNA". It matches the Rfam family "Bacterial small subunit ribosomal RNA", at positions 338 to 636 of the family's 1533-position model. The record is from RNAcentral.